Molecule: ribosomal RNA, 227 nt
Filed under: uncultured bacterium
Lineage: Bacteria
Description: partial 16S ribosomal RNA
Rfam family: Bacterial small subunit ribosomal RNA
Source: RNAcentral
AGCAACGCGUGAGGAACCUGCCUCAAAGAGGGGGACAACAGUUGGAAACGACUGCUAAUACCGCAUAAGCCCACGGCUCGGCAUCGAGCAGAGGGAAAAGGAGCAAUCCGCUUUGAGAUGGCCUCGCGUCCGAUUAGCUAGUUGGUGAGGUAAUGGCCCACCAAGGCGACGAUCGGUAGCCGGACUGAGAGGUUGAACGGCCACAUUGGGACUGAGACACGGCCCAG